This 492-nucleotide ribosomal RNA is filed under the name uncultured bacterium. Its description in RNAcentral is "partial 16S ribosomal RNA". It matches the Rfam family "Bacterial small subunit ribosomal RNA", at positions 29 to 507 of the family's 1533-position model. The record is from RNAcentral.
AAUGAACGCUGGCGGUAUGCCUAACACAUGCAAGUCGAACGACCACACAGUAAGCUCUUUCUCCUACCGUUAGCGGCUGACGGGCGAGUGACACAUACAUCACCUUCUUCUUUUUCUUGGGUGAUUACGUAAAGCCACUUCCGCUACUACCUCAUAUGUCCUACCGCUUAAUUCAGUGGAUCUUCGCACUUUUCCCGUUUCUAUUAGCCGAUGUCGGAUUAGCUAGUUGGCUGGGUAAAGUCCCACCAAGGCAACGAUGCGUAGCUUAUCUGAGAGGAUGAUCAGCCACACUGGAACUGAGACACGGUCCAGACUCCUACGGGAGGCAGCAGUAGGGAAUAUUCGGCAAUGGGCGAAAGCCUGAUGGAGCAACACCGCGUGAGUGAAGAAGGUCUUCGGAUCGUAAAGCCCUGUUAUUAGGGAAGAAAAGAAGUAGGAGAAACUAUGGACGUCUUGACGGUACCUAAAGAGAAAGCAACGGCUAACUUCGUG